AACGAACGCUGGCGGCAUGCCUAACACAUGCAAGUCGAACGAGACCUUCGGGUCUAGUGGCGCACGGGUGCGUAACGCGUGGGAAUCUGCCCUUGGUUCGGAAUAACAGUUAGAAAUGACUGCUAAUACCGGAUGAUGACGAAAGUCCAAAGAUUUAUCGCCGAGGGAUGAGCCCGCGUAGGAUUAGCUAGUUGGUGAGGUAAAGGCUCACCAAGGCGACGAUCCUUAGCUGGUCUGAGAGGAUGAUCAGCCACACUGGGACUGAGACACGGCCCAGACUCCUACGGGAGGCAGCAGUGGGGAAUAUUGGACAAUGGGCGAAAGCCUGAUCCAGCAAUGCCGCGUGAGUGAUGAAGGCCUUAGGGUCGUAAAGCUCUUUACCAGGGAUGAUAAUGACAGUACCUGGAGAAUAAGCUCCGGCUAACUCCGUGCCAGCAGCCGCGGUAAU
RNAcentral lists this ribosomal RNA (448 nucleotides) under uncultured bacterium. Its description in RNAcentral is "bacterial SSU rRNA". It matches the Rfam family "Bacterial small subunit ribosomal RNA", at positions 29 to 524 of the family's 1533-position model. The record is from RNAcentral.